UUCUAAAAUAGAAAAGUCAGCAUCAAAUUUGAUCCAUGCCAAUUUUGCAAUGUUUUGUAGGUGAAGAGAAGAAAUGAAGUCUCAGAAAGUACUGCAGGGGAAGCAUCAGUGAAGAGGAGAAGAGUGGAAGUCCAAGCAGAGACCUCAUGCCCACAGUUGGGUGGUCAGGUUGACAGGACUGGAGCUGAGUGUGUUCACCGUACGAGUAAAGCAAAGCAUGGAUUUGAAAUGAAUUCCUUCAGAGAAAAUGAGUGUGAGUUUAGUCCAGCGUCCCUUACAGUGGGCUGCAACCAAGUGAGUUUCUGGGGACCUGUGGUGCCUAACCCUGAACAAAGAAGAGCAACCUGUCAGGCUGACGGUGCAGGGCAGCUACUGCAGCAAAUGGACCGAAUGGUAAACAAAGGAGACAUGGAGUUGGACAGAAGAGGUCUCUCAAAGUUCUGGAGAAGCACAAUCUUGUCGCCACUACAGCAUCUUUUUGGUGGAAAGAACUGACCUGAAAGCACUAAGUUGUGGAAAAGUAAACUUGCAGCGUGGCUGUCGGGUGGGAUUGUUUCUUGUGUAGUUCCGCUUUUCACAUUGCUUGUCUCAGCUUUGAAAUGCUUUAAAUGAAAUUCUACCUUGUUUAUAUUUUCAAAUUAACGUACUGGAGAUGUUGGGUUAAAGUGUCUUUUUCUUCACAACCUGGAGUAUUUUGGGAAAAGAGCAACAAGCUUUAAGAUUUUGAUCCUUGAGUGUCAUAAAUUGGGAAUUUUGCAGUUAAAAAUUCUGUGAGAUUCUAAUAAAAAUCAACCGGCAUCACCCUGGGACUGCAUGGUAUUUUAAUCAGUCUCAUGCAGGCAGAAAACACCUUUUCCCUCUCAGAAGAAGCAGAGGUUUCUGGUUUCAGAUAGACCCUUGUACUAUGCUUCACACCAUUAAAAAGGUGAA
RNAcentral lists this long non-coding RNA (930 nucleotides) under Strigops habroptila (Kakapo). RNAcentral describes it as "lncRNA (ENSSHBG00005006406.1)". Lineage: Eukaryota; Metazoa; Chordata; Aves; Psittaciformes; Psittacidae. The record is from RNAcentral.